RNAcentral lists this ribosomal RNA (243 nucleotides) under uncultured Actinomycetales bacterium. Its description in RNAcentral is "partial 16S ribosomal RNA". It matches the Rfam family "Bacterial small subunit ribosomal RNA", at positions 88 to 334 of the family's 1533-position model. Lineage: Bacteria; Bacillati; Actinomycetota; Actinomycetes; Actinomycetales. The record is from RNAcentral.
UACUCGAGUGGCGAACGGGUGAGUAACACGUGGGUGAUCUGCCCUGCACUUCGGGAUAAGCCUGGGAAACUGGGUCUAAUACCGGAUAGGAGCCAUUUUUAGUGUGAUGGUUGGAAAGUUUUUUCGGUGUAGGAUGAGCUCGCGGCCUAUCAGCUUGUCGGUGGGGUAAUGGCCUACCAAGGCGGCGACGGGUAGCCGGCCUGAGAGGGUGGACGGCCACAUUGGGACUGAGAUACGGCCCAG